CUGAUCCAGCAAUUCCGCGUGCAGGAUGAAGGCCCUAGGGUUGUAAACUGCUUUUGUGUGGGANGAAAAGGCCUUCUCUAAUAAAGAGGGUUCCUGACGGUACCACAAGAAUAAGCACCGGCUAACUACGUGCCAGCAGCCGCGGUAAUACGUAGGGUGCAAGCGUUAAUCGGAAUUACUGGGCGUAAAGCGUGCGCAGGCGGUUUUGCAAGACAGCGGUGAAAGCCCCGGGCUUAACCUGGGAAUUGCCGUUGUGACUGCAAGGCUGGAGUGCGGCAGAGGGGGGUGGAAUUCCGCGUGUAGCAGUGAAAUGCGUAGAUAUGCGGAGGAACACCGAUGGCGAAGGCAGCCCCCUGGGCCUGCACUGACGCUCAUGCACGAAAGCGUGGGUAGCAAACAGGAUUAGAUACCCUGGUAGUCCACGCCGUAAACGAUGUCAACUGGUUGUUGGGGAUUUGUUUCUUCAGUAACGAAGCUAACGCGUGAAGUUG
RNAcentral lists this ribosomal RNA (491 nucleotides) under uncultured bacterium. Its description in RNAcentral is "bacterial SSU rRNA". It matches the Rfam family "Bacterial small subunit ribosomal RNA", at positions 383 to 867 of the family's 1533-position model. The record is from RNAcentral.